This 218-nucleotide ribosomal RNA is filed under the name uncultured prokaryote. Its description in RNAcentral is "partial 16S ribosomal RNA". It matches the Rfam family "Bacterial small subunit ribosomal RNA", at positions 524 to 741 of the family's 1533-position model. The record is from RNAcentral.
UACGAAGGGGGCUAGCGUUGUUCGGAAUUACUGGGCGUAAAGGGCGCGUAGGCUGUGCUGUAAGUCAGGCGUGAAAUCCCCGGGCUCAACCUGGGAAUUGCGUUUGAUACUGCGGCGCUUGAAUGCAGGAGAGGAUGGCGGAAUUCCCAGUGUAGAGGUGAAAUUCGUAGAUAUUGGGAAGAACACCGGUGGCGAAAGCGGCUCUCUGGGUCGACACU